AGAAAGAUCUGCCAGCUGGACUAAGUGUGGCCUCACUCAGCGGCAGAGGACACAGGGAGGGAGAAGAGGAAGUACUGGGUACGGCUUGCUCCCAGAGUGGAACUUGAAAACAGACAUGCCAAGCUUCAGCUGAAACUCAGGCCUCAUGCAGUUUUCUCUGCUUGGAAUGUUCUCUGCCCAACCUUCUCCUGCCCAGCUUCUUGUCCUACAGGUCUCAGGUCAAAUGCCUUCCUCUCAGCGAAGACUUCCCUGGCCACUGGCCACCUUGUCAACAUAAACGUCAUCUGGUUAUUCUCUCUCCAGCCUGUGGACUAUUUUUUCUAAAGAACUUUUCAGGAUCUCAUCCAUAUCUUGGUUUACUUGUUUGUAACCUGUCUCUGUCCUCCAGAAUGUAAGCUCCAUGAGAGCAGCACCUUCUCCUUGACGUUAUUCCUGCCUCAAUCCUUAGCAUCUAGCCCGUUGUUUAAUACAUAUUUGUUGAAUGAAGACCCAUUAAAGUGAAUUAUAGACUUAAAAA
Non-coding RNA from Chlorocebus sabaeus (green monkey), 517 nucleotides. NCBI's taxonomy places the organism in Eukaryota, Metazoa, Chordata, Mammalia, Primates, Cercopithecidae. The record is from RefSeq and is a predicted model, not a curated record.